GUCUCACACGCAGUAUGUCACACCAUCUGUGAGCUAUGACCAGAUAAUGCUACUGCUUCUGCAAAGGCCUCAGAAUCAGUCACACAAUUGUCUGCAACUCCGAACAGCAGCUGCAAGAUCACAACUGUGCACAGUAGUCCCGCCCCAUAGACUGUUGCGGUUCCUUAGCCCAAAUCCAUCAACAGAAAAUGUGGAGGGCAUAUGGGAAGAGAGAGAGCUGUGUGUGCUGUGGACCUCCCAGAUGGCUGCCAGCCCCACAGAGAGUGAGGCAGCAGUCCCAACCAGUGGAACACUCUUAAGAGCUGUAAGAAGAAAGUUUUAAGAGGGAAGUUCAUGUUCAAGCUAUCCUGCAAGCUCCACAGAGGAUGUCAAAACCUGCUGAUAUCUAGCAGAGUCAACUCCAAGUUUGUGUAUCCUGGUCCACUCUACCUUUCCAUCAGGCAGUACAUGUGGAAAUGGAAAAGUAGCUCUCUAAUUAAUCAAAGUCAGAUCUGCCUGAACGCCUGGAGUUGCUGCUGAUCCUUGUCCCAGCUUCUACCAUGUUCUCUCUCUAUGUUUUUUACCUUGAAAACUUCUGCUCUGAGCUGGGAAUGCCUGAAGGGCUUGCACGGAGUAAUUUCAAAGGAGCUGUUAACACUUUCAUGUCUGAAACUUUCUUACUAGCAAGAGGGAGAACUGAAGGAAUGAGAUUCAAAGACAAUUCAGUGCAGCUGUAAGUCUGACAACACUGCUGAUACAGUUUAAUUGAGGACUAAUUGGAACUAAGAGGGCUAGUUAUUUUGUCAACUGCACGUAUAUUAGUUCCAGUCAUUUUUAAUCCGAUGUAACGGUGAUAAAGAGUCUAACUUACUUUGUUUAGUUAAUAACAUUAGGCCAGAAAGAAUCACCUAGUCAUUUCAUGUUACUCGAUACACUGCUAAUAUAAACAAUGUCUAAUUACACUGACGACAUACUUCCAUGAAAUGACCAAUUAGAACAUUUACUCAUUCUAAAUGUAUGCUAUUAGAUACAUUUCCACAGGCUUUCUGGUAUUAAUAAAUUAGACAUCAGCUAGUAGGAAGUGUAAGAACAGAAUAUGCGGGAGAAAAAGUUCUUUUUAAAUAGGACAAAGAAUAUUUCAGUAUGCAGAUACAGUAUACUAGGGGCUGUUACCUCCCAUAAAGGUUCUCCCCCAACACCUUGCCCCCACCAAAUUUUACAAAUGAAAAGAAACUUAUUCUCUGGGAGCAUGAAAUUUUGCAAAUUUGUAUACUCUUCUUGCUGAAUCAAGAAGCUCAUACCACGUCUUCAAGAUGCAGGAUAAAGGAGGCAUGUGUUAGCAUUUUAAUAUUUAGACCCACAAACCUACAGCGAUUUGCGUUCAAUUUCAAAACUGAUUUAUUGGCUGUGAUGUGCAGUCAGUAUGAAUAAUACAGAAGUGUCUCUUAUUUAUUUUAUUUAUUUUACUUUACUUAUGUGUCAAUAGCUUCCGCCAGAAAAUAUCAGUCCAGCAUGUAACAACAUCUUACAGAGUGACACAAUCUGAUAACAAAAUCAAAACAGAAAAAUAUAAUGAGAACAAUCUCAUCCUCAUCUGAAGAAAAAAUGCUGAUUGUUCAAAACUGCUAUUUUAAUGAUUGAAUGGCUAUCCCUUAUGUAAUCAUGCUGAAAAUUUUGCCGGUUAGUUAAAGUAAAUAACAGCGCACCAGUAUGUGCAUUACCAAAUCAAACUAGCAUAAAGUAUUAGAAAUACUGGAAAAAAUGAGACAGCUAUUUGUGCAACUUAGAUAAAAGAAAGGCAUUUAGAAUAAAUGCAUGAAGUACAUCAAAACAAAAAAAAAAAAAAAGAAGAAGAAACUGAAAAAUGAUCUGAAAUCAUUGAUAUUAAUAGUUACUGCACAGAUGCCUAAAAUACUUGACUGCUACACAUGUCGACAUGAGAACAAGGGAGAAUGAGGGAAGAGAAGGAAAGAACUGAAAAAGUGCAAAAAGAAAGGAGGGAAGGAAGGUGAGCCUGGAACACACUCCUCAGUUGUCUGACUGCCAUCUUCAGGGGAAAAGGGAUCUGAGAUGAAAACUGCUCAUGUAAAGUAGCCUCUCCCAGAAGCUGUCCCAUUUUUCUACAGCAACAUGACCAGUAUUGACUGCUUUCUAGGAUUCCUCCACCUUUAUAGCUUAUCUCUGUCCCUGCUGUAUCGUGUUCAAACUGUACAGACCCAGCUCAACCCAAUUCCUGGCCAGUUUAAUGAUGAGCUUCAAAAUUAAGCUUACUUUUCUGAGAUGAUCUGAGAAUAGCAUUCAAGGCUAAUUGAGAAUUUUUUUUACACAUCGUUUAAAGAUAUUGAUUCUUUAACAAAUAAAAAAGGCAAAACUAGUAUAGAGGAAAAGGCUGUAUGAAUGUUUUUUCAGGGGAAAAGUAAACAAAUGGAAAAAUAAAAAAUAUAUAUUUUAAAUACUUAUCUUUUAAAAAGAAUUGUUGAAUCAUAUGAAAUUAUCCCCUUUUGGAUAGCUAUUAGCAUUGCUAUGCAUCCUAAUAUACAAGAGAAACACUGAGUAUUCCAGUGCUGAAUUCCUAUCUCGUAUGCUUUACUAUUCUCUCUCCAGCAUUAGUAUUUUGGAAUUUACCUCACUUACCCUUCCACACACUUAUGCAGUGCUGACUGAUGCUAAUAAAAGUCACAUCUACAUGUGCAGAUUAGAACUCGGUUAUCUAAAGAGUUCAAUUUGAGCAUGAAAUACAGGCAGAGCAAAUAUGGGAUACAUAAGGGAUUUUGAGACUUUGUUAAAAGUAAGGAAAUGGUACUGGGAUUUUGUUAAAUGAUAGGCAAGGAAAUCUUCCAGCUAUCACAAAGUGAUGUCAGAAUGAUAUUGCUGUGAACUGGGAGCACAGUAGGAUUUUCUUGCAGGUUGUCAGAG
This is a long non-coding RNA of Gallus gallus (chicken), 2895 nucleotides long. NCBI's taxonomy places the organism in Eukaryota, Metazoa, Chordata, Aves, Galliformes, Phasianidae. The record is from Ensembl.